Molecule: ribosomal RNA, 468 nt
Filed under: uncultured bacterium
Lineage: Bacteria
Description: partial 16S ribosomal RNA
Rfam family: Bacterial small subunit ribosomal RNA
Source: RNAcentral
GACGAACGCUGGCGGCGUGCUUAACACAUGCAGGUCGAACGGAAAGGCCCUGCUUUUGUGGGGUGCUCGAGUGGCGAACGGGUGAGUAACACGUGAGUAACCUGCCCUUGACUUUGGGAUAACUUCAGGAAACUGGGGCUAAUACCGGAUAGGAGCUCCUGCGGCAUGGUGGGGGUUGGAAAGUUUCGGCGGUUGGGGAUGGACUCGCGGCUUAUCAGCUUGUUGGUGGGGUAGUGGCUUACCAAGGCUUUGACGGGUAGCCGGCCUGAGAGGGUGACCGGCCACAUUGGGACUGAGAUACGGCCCAGACUCCUACGGGAGGCAGCAGUGGGGAAUAUUGCACAAUGGGCGGAAGCCUGAUGCAGCAACGCCGCGUGCGGGAUGACGGCCUUCGGGUUGUAAACCGCUUUCGCCUGUGACGAAGCGUGAGUGACGGUAAUGGGUAAAGAAGCACCGGCUAACUACGUG